CACACCCCCACUGACCCCCAUCUCCAGGCAUCUGCCCUGAUGGCCUCCAGGGCCCCUUCUGUGCCUGCAGAGAUGGCGGCCUGCUCUCUAGGUCAGGCCAGGUUCCCGGGAGCCGAGGUCUGGCUGUUAUUCCAGGAGUGCCCAGCCCCAGAGCUGCCACCUCAGGCCCCUGGAAGUUCUGCAGCCUGAGCUGCCGUCCUCAGACCACUCUGCCUCUGAGCGUGCAAGAGGCUCAGGGCCUUUCCAGGCCUCCCAGAGCCAGGCAGCAGCAGGGAGCCAAGAGCAGCCUGUGGCUCCACUGUGGCAAAGGACAGCCUAUUUAGGCUGAGAGUGGGCCUGAGAGAUCACAAAUCUUUUUUCUUUGCCCAGAACUUUUAAUUUAACCCUGACUUAAAAGGGUGUUCAGGGAGCAUCAUGCUAGAAAUCCCAAAUACGAUGAAAGAAUCCCACAACAGAGGUGAACAGAGGCCUGUUCCCAGGUUCAUCCCGGGAAGGUAGCAAGACAGCGCCCCCUUUGCCCAGCUCAGUGAAGGGCCGGGGCAGCUGAUGUGGCCUGCGCACAGGGUGAGGCAGCAAGGGAUUCUCAUGAGGACAAAUUAGAGCACCUGUCACUAUAGCCAGCACUCAAGAAAUGGGAUUAUCAUCAGAGGGAAAAAUGCACAGCCUCACCAGCUAUUAAACAUAUGGAAAUGAUGACAAUUUAAAGCUUAUAAAUAACAUUAGCGGUGGCUUGGAUUUAUUGUUGUGGCCUCCGGAAGAACUUGGGCACAGUGUAACUUCCUGGGGCCCGAGGUUGUUAAUCGGUGAAUUGUUCAUGAAGGACAGUGCUCACU
RNAcentral lists this long non-coding RNA (833 nucleotides) under Homo sapiens (human). RNAcentral describes it as "HSALNT0300347". Lineage: Eukaryota; Metazoa; Chordata; Mammalia; Primates; Hominidae. The record is from RNAcentral.